GAUGAACGCUGGCGGCGUGCCUAAUACAUGCAAGUCGAGCGAACAGACGAGGAACUUGCUUCUCUGACGUUAGCGGCGGACGGGGGAGUAACACGUGGAUAACCUACCUAUAAGACUGGGAUAACUUCGGGAAACCGGAGCUAAUACCGGAUAAUAUAUUGAACCUCAUGGUUCAAUAGUGAAAGACGGUAUUGCUGUCACUUAUAGAUGGAUCCGCGCCGCAUUAGCUAGUUGGUAAGGUAACGGCUUACCAAGGCAACGAUGCGUAGCCGACCUGAGAGGGUGAUCGGCCACACUGGAACUGAGACACGGUCCAGACUCCUACGGGAGGCAGCAGUAGGGAAUCUUCCGCAAUGGGCGAAAGCCUGACGGAGCAACGCCGCGUGAGUGAUGAAGGUCUUCGGAUCGUAAAACUCUGUUAUUAGGGAAGAACAAAUGUGUAAGUAACUAUGCACGUCUUGACGGUACCUAAUCAGAAAGCCACGGCUAACUACGUG
Molecule: ribosomal RNA, 497 nt
Filed under: uncultured bacterium
Lineage: Bacteria
Description: partial 16S ribosomal RNA
Rfam family: Bacterial small subunit ribosomal RNA
Source: RNAcentral